This is a long non-coding RNA of Drosophila erecta, 538 nucleotides long. RefSeq lists it as uncharacterized. Lineage: Eukaryota; Metazoa; Arthropoda; Insecta; Diptera; Drosophilidae. The transcript has 4 exons. The record is from RefSeq and is a predicted model, not a curated record.
CAGAAGCCGCUGCAGAGGAGCCGCAGCAGUCGCAAACGCGCAAGCAGCAGCCACAGUCGCAGUCGCAGGCAGUCGCAAGCAGAGCAGCAAGUAGUUGCAAGGGCGCCGCCUCCGUCGAUAAACCAGCGGGUGACCAUCGCCGUGUUGCUCGGCAAAUUCCCCAAUCGUCGAAAUGAACCACUGACACGCCCUCGGCGCUUUUCUAUUUGACUAUUUGGUAUCUGGGUAUCUGGCUAUCUGGCAAUACCAUUGGAACCAUCCAUCCCGUCGGACCCAGCCUCACUCAAUUCAACGCACGUGCCUGGUCCUAGACUGGAAAACAGUACAACUGGACAACUGAAAGCCCACUGAGGUCCUUCCGCAGGCUCACGCACACAGGCGCAAGCAACAGGACUUGUUUAUCGGCAGCCCCUCGGUUGGGCCCCACUCCAAACUGGCCCAUCAAUUUUGGUUCUCCUACCCGCCACCGGGCGCUGGCGGCGGUUCCUCAAGAAUCAUAAAACUAAGGAAUCAAGUCUAACAAAUACGAAAUACAAAC